Long non-coding RNA from Papaver somniferum (opium poppy), 1796 nucleotides. RefSeq lists it as uncharacterized. NCBI's taxonomy places the organism in Eukaryota, Viridiplantae, Streptophyta, Magnoliopsida, Ranunculales, Papaveraceae. The record is from RefSeq and is a predicted model, not a curated record. The transcript is spliced from 6 exons.
AUGUAGGGUAUAACUGUAUAUUUCAGGGUUUAAGCCUCAACGAGUUUUGGAUUGUUCUUCUUAGAUCUGCAUCUACUAAUACCAAGCAUCAAUGGAUAAUUCUUUUCAAUCUCGAUUUUGCUUUCUGUUUUUCGAUCCCGUUUCUCUUAUUGAUUUUAAGUUUCAUUUCCGAUCCAUUUGAGUAAGACUGGUGCAGGACCACCAGUUUUGUUCAAUUUCAUCUCAUUCAUGUAAGACUGAUGCAAGAUCAUCAGAAUUGUUCAAUUUUACUAUCUUGUAAGACUUGUGCAAAGAUCACUAGCAUUAUUUUCUGAUCUGUUUUCACUGGGAUCGAUUCGAUUUGGUUAUUCUGGAUUUUCAAUAUAAAUUUUCAUUGAUAGUUCAUCUCUUGAUUCAGAAUUUUGUUUUCAAUUAUCUGUAAUAAUAGGAUGUUGUCACACUAGAUGAUCCAGCUAAUCUUGGUUCAGAAUUUUGUUUUCAAUUAUCUGUACUCAAUCGCUCUUCAACAUCUAAUAUGUGUUUCGUCACUUUAUAUUUUCUCAAAUUUAAUUCUUCUUUGCUGCUUGGUUUAAGAAUGUGGUUGAUUUUGGAUAUUAGUAUUGAUGAUGUAUUGUUUCUCUCAUGAUACAAGUGAUUUUCAUUUCACUUAGAAAACUCUGUAUCUUAUGCAAGACCUGGUUCUGCAACAACAAAUAUUUCUGCUGUGUAGAAAAUGUUACUGGAGCUUUUGGUAUUGGCUGGUUUCCUAUGCAACGAUUUGCAAUGAGUGGUCAGCUGACUCAACAAGAAUCUGGGAUGUUGCACAUGGCUCUUUUAAGGUUUUGAAUUGUCCAUCUGGCGCCCUAGAUAAUCUGUCCAAUGCCAUUUCUCAACUUGUAUGGAAUCCUGAUGGAACGUUGCUUGCCACAGCUUCCCAUACUGCAAAAGCCAAUAUCUGGUCUAUCACAGGGGAUGUAAAACACUCGAUCGAUGGACAUCAAGGGAGCAUCAUGUAAAACUACCUUCUGUGUUCCAUUUUUAAUCCCAAAGCUGCUUUCACUUCCCUAGCAUCUUUUACAUCCAUGACCUAUAUAUGAGAAGAAAUUGGUUUAUUCGAAGUAUGUCUGCUUGUGCUCAUCUUAGAUCUUCUUGAGCUAGUUCUGCAAUUCACUUUUCACAGAAUGCUUGGCUUCUUUUGGGCUACUCUAUGGCCUGCCAAUGGGAUGUCCACGGGAGAGGCGAAGAGUUGUGUGCUGCAAAAUGGAACACAGAAGGUAGUUUGUUAGCUGCUGGGUUUAAUUUCGGAAAGGUUAAAGUUUGGAGUAUGGCUAAAGAAGACUGUCCCGUUCACAGCUAAGAGAAGCAUUCCAAUGUUAUACUUGAUAUUGGUUGGAGUCCUAAUUCCACUUCGCUCGCAAGUGGAUCAGCUGAUCAGAGCCUCAAGCUAUGGAAUAUAGAAUAUGGGAAAGAAGUCACUAGCCUUUACCAUCCUAGAGGGCUAGUAAAAGCAUUAGCUUCGAACCUCAUGGGUUGUACAUUUUGACUGUUUCGUCGAAGAUUCUGAGUGUUGUGUUUGUCAAGGGAGGAAAGGUCAUGAAGACAUUUGAAGCGGAGGGUGAAGUUUGUCAAGCUUCUUGGAACAAUGAUGGUUCCAAAAUUGCUGUGUGUUCCGAAGAUUAGUAAAAAUCUUUGUCAUUGACAUGAACUUCUAGGUUCAUAGUCAGAUUUUAAGAACUUUUGAUUGGGUGUUUUUUUCUUUCUUCUGGGUACUCCUAAAGCAAAACAUUUACUAACUUACAUCAUGUUUGUUUUUUCCA